This 441-nucleotide ribosomal RNA is filed under the name uncultured bacterium. RNAcentral's name for it is "partial 16S ribosomal RNA". It matches the Rfam family "Bacterial small subunit ribosomal RNA", at positions 338 to 795 of the family's 1533-position model. The record is from RNAcentral.
CCUACGGGAGGCAGCAGUGGGGAAUAUUGCACAAUGGGGGAAACCCUGAUGCAGCGAAGCCGCGUGAGUGAAGAAGUUUUUCGGUAUGUAAAGCUCUAUCAGCAGGGAAGAAGCAAGACGGCACCUGACUAAGAAGCCCCGGCUAACUACGGGCCAGCAGCCGCGGUAAUACGGAGGGGGCAAGCGUGAUCCGGAUUUACUGGGUGUAACGGGAGCGUAGGCGGUAUGGCAAGUCUGAAGUGAAAGCCCAGGGCUUAACCCUGGGACUGCUUUGGAAACUGUUAGACUAGAGUGCUGGAGAGGUAAGUGGAAUGCCUAGUGUAGCGGUGAAAUGCGUAGAUAUAUGGAAGAACACCAGUGGCGAAGGCGGCUCUCUGGUCUGUAACUGACGCUGAGGUUCGAAAGCGUGGGUAGCAAACAGGAUUAGAUACCCCUGUAGUC